This 397-nucleotide ribosomal RNA is filed under the name uncultured bacterium. Its description in RNAcentral is "partial 16S ribosomal RNA". It matches the Rfam family "Bacterial small subunit ribosomal RNA", at positions 523 to 918 of the family's 1533-position model. The record is from RNAcentral.
AUACGUAGGGGGCGAGCGUUGUCCGGAAUGAUUGGGCGUAAAGGGCGCGUAGGCGGCCUGUUAAGUCUGGAGUGAAAGUCCUGUUUUCAAGAUGGGAAUUGCUUUGGAUACUGAUGGGCUUGAGUGCAGGAGAGGUUAUCGGAAUUCCCGGUGUAGCGGUGAAAUGCGUAGAGAUCGGGAGGAACACCAGUGGCGAAGGCGGGUAACUGGACUGCAACUGACGCUGAGGCGCGAAAGUGUGGGGAGCAAACAGGAUUAGAUACCCUGGUAGUCCACACUGUAAACGGUGAAUGCUAGGUGUAAGAGGUAUCGACCCCUUUUGUGCCGGAGUUAACACAAUAAGCAUUCCGCCUGGGGAGUACGGCCGCAAGGUUGAAACUCAAAUGAAUUGACGGGG